UGUAGCUGUAAACAGUUUUAAUGAAUGUGUGUGUCUGUCUGCGUUUCAGUCUGUCUGUGCUUUUGUGUGUGCGCGUGUGUUUUUGACUUUGUCUGUGUGUCUCUGUCUGUUUGGACAGGGCCUGGAGGUUUUUGCGUUCAGCGGAUGGAUGCCCUGUCCAGCUGUAAACAAUGCCAGAGAACAUCCUUUCAGUGACCAGAAUGUACUUGACUUCCUGAGUACUUAUGAGCUUUAAAAUACUGAAAGAUGCUGAGGAUACAGUGAAGGGAAAAUGAACAGACAGAUGUGUCUCCAUAGAAAAAAGAGGGGCCGGAAAUGUGCAGUGAGCAGAUAUAAUAUCUUAACAAGAAAGUUACUAUCACCGGAUGUCCACUGUGUGUUCAAUUGAGAUUAAAACAGAAACUAGGUAUGUAUUCAACCCCAUGAUUACUCCAUAUAACUUGCAUGUGGUAUAACCUGUAUGCAUGUGUUUGGACAAUGAUUUGGUUCUAUCAGAUUCCACGCAGAUUCUCAAACUAAUUUGUGAUUAGUUGACCGUGUGUUAGUGUGUUUAUUUUAGGCAUUUGUAAAACCACUUUAAAACAGGAAUCUUUUGUGUGUGUGUGUGUGUGUGUUAAUCCCUGUUUGGUAGACACACGUACCUUACAGUCGUCUCCCUAACAAUGAUGCUCACACGUCAUUUGAGAGAAAACAGAAGCAUGCACAGCUAUUUGGAGGCAGUUUCACAUUCGCACUUUAAGUGAACAUAUUUCAUUGGCAGUGUUAGUCAAUGUAAAUGUUAUUGUGUGUCACGAUGUAUUACUUCAAUACGAUACUUGCUGUGUACAAGCAGGUCUCCAGAAACUUGAGGAAAGUUGUUGGAGAAAUUGUAUUAUUAUUCCUGUUAACACAGAAAGCUUUUCCAAGGGGGCGCAAACUGUCGCUGUCCGUUACUUUGUGGUGCUGAAAUGUCGCUUGUUCGAGUAGAGACUUUGGCAAGACACAAAUGUAUAUACAUAGGCCUAAAUACAAACAUACAAAAUCAUUAUUAAUAGUAAUACUGUUUCUAUUUCAAAUGUAGAUCUGAAAUAGGAAUUGUAUAAUUUGAUAAAACACAUAUUUAGUUAAAGUCAAUGCAA
Long non-coding RNA from Osmerus eperlanus (European smelt), 1118 nucleotides. RefSeq lists it as uncharacterized. Lineage: Eukaryota; Metazoa; Chordata; Actinopteri; Osmeriformes; Osmeridae. The record is from RefSeq and is a predicted model, not a curated record. The transcript is spliced from 3 exons.